Molecule: ribosomal RNA, 390 nt
Filed under: Poyntonophrynus hoeschi (Okahandja toad)
Lineage: Eukaryota; Metazoa; Chordata; Amphibia; Anura; Bufonidae
Description: partial 12S ribosomal RNA
Rfam family: Bacterial small subunit ribosomal RNA
Source: RNAcentral
CCGUAAACUUUUAUUUACACCUGAACCGCCCGGGAACUACGAGCUAAGCUUAAAACCCAAAGGACUUGACGGUACCCCAUAUCCCCCUAGAGGAGCCUGUCCUAUAAUUGAUAAUCCACGUUUAACCUCACCAUUUCUAGUUAAUCAGCCUGUAUACCUCCGUCGCCAGCUUACCACGUGAGCGCUAAUUAGUGAGCUUAAUGUUUUUCACCAGUACGUCAGGUCAAGGUGCAGCAAAUGAAAUGGGAAGAGAUGGGCUACACUUUCUAUAUUAGAAGAAACGAAAAACUACCUAUGAAACCUAGUUGGAAGGCGGAUUUAGCAGUAAAAUGGGAUCAACAUGCUCAUUUUAACCCGGCACUGGGGUGUGUACACACCGCCCGUCACCCU